Molecule: ribosomal RNA, 171 nt
Filed under: Dyadobacter sp. CY351
Lineage: Bacteria; Pseudomonadati; Bacteroidota; Cytophagia; Cytophagales; Spirosomataceae
Description: partial 23S ribosomal RNA
Rfam family: Bacterial large subunit ribosomal RNA
Source: RNAcentral
GCGCAAGCGAAUUAAGGGCGCAUGGGGGAUACCUAGGCUCUCAGAGGCGAUGAAGGACGUGAUAAGCUGCGAAAAGCUACGGGGAUUGGCACAUACAAAUUGAUCCGUAGAUAUCCGAAUGGGGCAACCCAGUACCAUGAAGUGGUAUUACCCUACGGGGGGCAAACGCGG